CGAAAGCCUGACGGAGCAAUACCGCGUGAGGGAGGAAGGUUUUUGGAUUGUAAACCUCUUUUUUAAAGGAAGAAGAAAGUGACGGUACUUUAAGAAUAAGCAUCGGCUAACUCCGUGCCAGCAGCCGCGGCAAUACGGAGGAUGCAAGCGUUAUCCGGAAUCAUUGGGCGUAAAGCGUCCGCAGGUGGGAGUUCAAGUCGAUUGUCAAAGGCAGUAGCUUAACUACUGAAAGGCAGUGGAAACUGAACAACUAGAGUGCGGUAGGGGUAGAGGGAAUUCCCAGUGUAGCGGUGAAAUGCGUAGAUAUUGGGAAGAACACCAGUGGCGAAGGCGCUCAACUGGGCCGUAACUGACACUCAGGGACGAAAGCUAGGGCUAGCG
This 381-nucleotide ribosomal RNA is filed under the name uncultured cyanobacterium. RNAcentral describes it as "bacterial SSU rRNA". It matches the Rfam family "Bacterial small subunit ribosomal RNA", at positions 376 to 770 of the family's 1533-position model. The record is from RNAcentral. Lineage: Bacteria; Bacillati; Cyanobacteriota.